This 495-nucleotide ribosomal RNA is filed under the name uncultured bacterium. Its description in RNAcentral is "partial 16S ribosomal RNA". It matches the Rfam family "Bacterial small subunit ribosomal RNA", at positions 28 to 507 of the family's 1533-position model. The record is from RNAcentral.
GACGAACGCUGGCGGCGUGCCUAAUACAUGCAAGUAGAACGCUGAAGGAGGAGCUUGCUCUUCUGGAUGAUUUGCGAACGGGUGAGUAACGCGUAGGUAACCUGCCUGGUAGCGGGGGAUAACUAUUGGAAACGAUAGCUAAUACAGCAUAACAGUAGAUGUUGCAUGACAUUUACAUAAAAGGUGCAGUUGCAUCACUACCAGAUGGACCUGCGUUGUAUUAGCUAGUUGGUGGGGUAACGGCUGACCAAAGCGACCAUACAGAGGCGGCCUGAGAGGGUGAACGGGCCACACGGGACUGGAACACCGCCCAAGCCCCCUCGGGGAGCCGCAGUAGGGGAUCCUCGGCAAUGGGCCGAAGGCUGGCCGAGCAACGCCGCGUGAGGUGAGAAAGUUUUCGGAACGUAAAGCUCUGUUGUUAGGGAAGGACGAGUGGUGGAGUGGAAAGUGCACACUGUGACGGUAUCUUACCAGAAAGGGACGGCUAACUACGUG